This 457-nucleotide unclassified non-coding RNA is filed under the name Hevea brasiliensis (rubber tree). Lineage: Eukaryota; Viridiplantae; Streptophyta; Magnoliopsida; Malpighiales; Euphorbiaceae. The record is from RNAcentral.
GCUCGGUCCCAAAAACAUCUGAGACUGCUGAUUCAACUCAGAGUCUGUCACAGCUGAUGGAGACUACACUUCACACUAAUCCUGCUAUUGCUGAAGCACUGAAAUCUGUCCCUGAGCCACUUCGGGCUAUCGUUUCAAAAGUCUCUCAGGAUUUAAUUGUGAAAGCUUCAUCCCUCCCAGCUCUUGCUCAACUUAUCCAGCUUUACGGGCCUGGAUCUCCCAAUGGUCCUGUUGGUGGAUCAUCAAGUGCAUCUGGUGCUCCAACUAAUCCAACUAAUAGUGCCACCGGUGAGCCAAAUUCUGCAAUUGUUCCUGUCCCAGAAACAGCAAGCAACUCUGAUACCGAACCGAUUUCAAAGCAGAAGGGAAAGGCUAGCAUUGCCCAGGGCUCAAUAGUUGCAAUGCCUAUGCCUGUUGAUCUGAAUCUUAAUCCUCCUAGUAAACAACUUGAAUCCGA